AUACGGAGGGUGCAAGCGUUAUUCGGAAUCACUGGGCGUAAAGGUCGCGUAGGCGGGUUGGCAAGUCAGAUGUGAAAUCCUACAGCUUAACUGUAGAACUGCAUUUGAAACUGCUAACCUAGAGUAUGGGAGGGGGAGAUGGAAUUAGUGGUGUAGGGGUAAAAUCCGUAGAUAUCACUAGGAAUACCGAAAGCGAAGGCGAUCUCCUGGAACAUAACUGACGCUAAGGCGUGAAAGCGUGGGGAGCAAACAGGAUUAGAAACCCCUGUAGUCC
Molecule: ribosomal RNA, 274 nt
Filed under: uncultured bacterium
Lineage: Bacteria
Description: partial 16S ribosomal RNA
Rfam family: Bacterial small subunit ribosomal RNA
Source: RNAcentral